Molecule: ribosomal RNA, 245 nt
Filed under: uncultured Geobacter sp.
Lineage: Bacteria; Pseudomonadati; Thermodesulfobacteriota; Desulfuromonadia; Geobacterales; Geobacteraceae
Description: partial 16S ribosomal RNA
Rfam family: Bacterial small subunit ribosomal RNA
Source: RNAcentral
UACGUAGGGUGCUAGCGUUGUUCGGAAUCAUUGGGCGUAAAGCGCGUGUAGGCGGCUAAUUAAGUCGAGUGUGAAAUCCCCAGGCUCAACCUGGGAAGUGCAUUCGAAACUCAUUAGCUGGAAGACGGUAGAGGAAGGUAGAAUUCCUAGUGUAGAGGUGAAAUUCGUAGAUAUUAGGAGGAACACCGGUGGCGAAGGCGGCCUUCUGGACCGUUCUUGACGCUGAGACGCGAAAGCGUGGGGAG